Molecule: ribosomal RNA, 733 nt
Filed under: Mrakia frigida
Lineage: Eukaryota; Fungi; Basidiomycota; Tremellomycetes; Cystofilobasidiales; Mrakiaceae
Description: eukaryotic LSU rRNA
Rfam family: Eukaryotic large subunit ribosomal RNA (bases 117-733)
Source: RNAcentral
GACGUGAUAAGUAUUUCGCCGAGGACAUACGAAAGUAUGGCCGAGAUAAAGGAAGUCUUUAGAUCCGCUUCUAAUUCUUAGAUAGAGCUUGCUCUACUAAACCCCAUUUUAUGAUCUGGCCUCAAAUCAGGUAGGACUACCCGCUGAACUUAAGCAUAUCAAUAAGCGGAGGAAAAGAAACUAACAAGGAUUCCCCUAGUAACGGCGAGUGAAGCGGGAUGAGCUCAAAUUUAAAAUCUGGCGGCCUCAGGUCGUCCGAGUUGUAGUCUAGAGAAUCGUUUUCCGCGUUGGCCUGUGUACAAGUCCCUUGGAACAGGGCGUCAUAGAGGGUGAGAAUCCCGUCCUUGACACAGACUACCAAUGCUUUGUGAUGCGAUCUCGAAGAGUCGAGUUGUUUGGGAAUGCAGCUCAAAAUGGGUGGUAAAUUCCAUCUAAAGCUAAAUAUUGGCGAGAGACCGAUAGCGAACAAGUACCGUGAGGGAAAGAUGAAAAGCACUUUGGAAAGAGAGUUAAACAGUACGUGAAAUUGUUAAAAGGGAAACGAUUGAAGUCAGUCAUGCUUUCCGAGACUCAGCCGAUUCUGUCGGUGUACUUCUCGGUUGGCAGGCCAGCAUCAGUUUCGAUCUGUGGAAAAGGUUGGAGGGAACGUGGCAUCCUCGGAUGUGUUAUAGCCCUUCUUCGAAUACAUAGAGCGGGACUGAGGAACGCAGCGCGCCUUUUAUUAGGUUGGCCC